CAUGGAAAGAUUGGGAGAAGAUAGAUGAGUAUGAACAGCAGGAAGGCAAGAAAGUUGGAAAGCCCAGGGAGAACAUUGUUGAUAUUCAGGAGAUGUUAAAAAUUGCUGUAUAAAUAUAUAUUUUUUAUGAUUAAAGUCGAAUCCUAAAAUAUCAUACUAAAUCCACUUCAAAAUGCGAUAAAUGUAAUGCGUUCUAGGAAAAGUAGAGUAUUUGAGUGUUUUUGAAAUAAGGUAUUUAAUUUAAUUAAGAUAUGCGGUUGUGCAAUUACAUAUUGUUUCAACAUUGAGCUUUGAUCAUAAGUAGAUAAUAUUUGUUUGAUAAUGACUAAUGACUAUAAAUUGACGUGGUGCGUUAGAAUCGAGUGAGUUUUGCUUUUAGGUUUAUUAAAUUGCUUAUAUUGUAUAGAAAUUACGUAUUUGUAAAUGAAAAAUGAAUCCAUUCAAGUUGUUUAAUUUUGAAAUAUUAAAUCAAUAUGCUAACUCAAAAUUUUAUGUUAUGUAUGCAAUUUGUACAACAUGCAAGAAUUGGUUGACUGGAGAGAUAUUUCUGUAUUGGGAUCGAACAUAUUGCGAAAUAUGUUCUAUACACAAUGACAGUCGACGUGAUAUUGCCUUAGAAAAUGUGCUAAACCAAUGCCUUUUUCCAUGCCAGUAUGAAGAUUGCGACUACAUCUUGAAGAGGAGCCAAGUUGAUGAACAUACAACAAAUUGCAAACAUAGGCAAUUAGAUUGCAAUUUAUGCAAUAUGGAAGGUAUCAGUUUAAAUGAAUAUGAAGACCAUCUCAAAAGCAACCACAAGGAUAAAAUAAUCGACUUGGACAAGCCAAUUUUAGAACAUACGCUGGACGCAGCAACUAAAAAUGAAAUUUUAAUUGCUUGCCUGAACCAACAUACUUUUCUAAUUCACAUUAAACGAGACAAAUCUAAAUUAAGUGUGAAUAUUGCACGUAUUGAAACAUAUGAUGACUCAAAUAUAAAUAAUAACUUUACAGUUGGUUACAAACACGAUCAACUAAAACACAAGCAGUUCACAGUGCUGUCCGCUAUUAGGUAUAAUUCAAAUCCUAACGUUGAUAUUGACGUGCCGCAGAAUGGAAAUCUUUUGUUAAACAUUUCUUUAUGUGGGUUUGAAAAUGUGAUCCACUUGCCAGAGUGUCCAAUUUGCAAUUAUGAGUUAAAGUUAAAGUCUAUCAAUGUCCUAAUGGACAUAACGUGUGCAAUGGAUGUGGGAAGAAAUUGAACACGUGUGCUAUAUGUCGGGACACCUUGAGUGUUGUAAACCUGCGUUACUUAUUUCCAAGUACAUUAUUAAUGUUAUGUUCAAACUAUGAGAAUGGCUGUUUGAAAAUUGGCAACGUAGGUGAUUUAGAUGAACACAUCAAGAAUUGCCUUUAUGCCCCAAUAAAAUGUGUUAAAUGCCAGCAGGAAUGUUCGAGACGUAAUAUUUUAACACAUUUUAAAGAAAAGCACACAGUCUUCAGAAACUAUGUUGUUUUAAUCGUACCGUUAAAAGAAGUAUCUGUUCCAAAUUGUCAUAAAUAUUAUUCUUUUAAAAAUCAAUUAUUUACAGUUAAUUUUAAAACUACUGGAAGUGGUAAUAAGCAGAAAAUAUGUUUCACGGUGCAAUUAUUAUACAAUGAAAAUAUUGAAGUAGCUGCAAGGUACAGAUAUGAAAUUCAUAUAAUUCAUAGAUAUCAUAAUGAAUCUAAUCAUGUACUAAAGGGAGUAUGUCAAGUCAAAAGUGAUAAAGAUACAUCAUCAUGGAUUUAUUGCAAACUAUGUCCUAUACAAUUUAACGAAAAUAAUGAUCCAUGUUUUUGGAUUAUGUUUGGAAUUGUAGAUAAAAAUGAUAACAUGUAAAAUGAAUUGUAAUAACACUAUAUCUAUAUAUGA
This is a long non-coding RNA of Dalotia coriaria, 1893 nucleotides long. RefSeq lists it as uncharacterized. The record is from RefSeq and is a predicted model, not a curated record. The transcript is spliced from 2 exons. NCBI's taxonomy places the organism in Eukaryota, Metazoa, Arthropoda, Insecta, Coleoptera, Staphylinidae.